UACGUAGGGGGCAAGCGUUGUCCGGAUUUAUUGGGCGUAAAGCGCGUGUAGGCGGCCAGUUAGGUCCGUUGUGAAAACUGGAGGCUUAACCUUCAGACGUCGAUGGAAACCAUUUGGCUAGAGUCCGGAAGAGGAGAAUGGAAUUCCUGGUGUAGCGGUGAAAUGCGCAGAUAUCAGGAAGAACACCCGUGGCGAAGGCGGUUCUCUGGGACGGUACUGACGCUGAGACGCGAAAGCGUGGGUAGCGAACAGG
This 253-nucleotide ribosomal RNA is filed under the name uncultured bacterium. RNAcentral describes it as "partial 16S ribosomal RNA". It matches the Rfam family "Bacterial small subunit ribosomal RNA", at positions 524 to 776 of the family's 1533-position model. The record is from RNAcentral.